UUCGAGACGGACUCGGCAGACGUUCGCGUCUCUCUUGUUUGCCGAACCCGUUUUGAAUG
Molecule: microRNA precursor, 59 nt
Filed under: Branchiostoma floridae (Florida lancelet)
Lineage: Eukaryota; Metazoa; Chordata; Leptocardii; Amphioxiformes; Branchiostomatidae
Also listed under: 1 other name
Description: Bfl-Mir-4886_pre stem-loop
Source: RNAcentral